This 1033-nucleotide ribosomal RNA is filed under the name Corynebacterium aurimucosum. RNAcentral describes it as "bacterial LSU rRNA". It matches the Rfam family "Bacterial large subunit ribosomal RNA", at positions 1095 to 2008 of the family's 2925-position model. Lineage: Bacteria; Bacillati; Actinomycetota; Actinomycetes; Mycobacteriales; Corynebacteriaceae. The record is from RNAcentral.
AGGAGGUUGGCUUAGAAGCAGCCAUCCUUGAAAGAGUGCGUAAUAGCUCACUGGUCGAGUGGUCCUGCGCCGACAAUGUAGUGGGGCUCAAGCACACCGCCGAAGCCGCGGCAAUACUUUUUGUAUUGGGUAGGGGAGCGUCGUGCAUGUGUUGAAGCGUUACCGUAAGGCGGCGUGGAGUGUGUGCGAGUGAGAAUGCAGGCAUGAGUAACGAAUUGGAAGGUGAGAAUCCUUCCCGCCGGAUGACUAAGGGUUCCUGGGUCAAGUUCGUCUUCCCAGGGUGAGUCGGGACCUAAGGCGAGGCCGACAGGCGUAGUCGAUGGAUAACCAGUUGAUAUUCUGGUACCCGUAUAUCCGCGCCCAUGAUAAAGCACUGAUACUAACCACCGCGGAUACGAUUGGCCCACUCUUUGAGUGGGGUGGUUGUUGAUGUCGUGGGGCCUGAUGUGUGGUUCAAGUGAUGGGGUGACACAGUGUAGUAGCCAUGCCGCUUAGUGGAUUGUUGGUGUAAGCGUGUGAGGUGGUGUGUAGGCAAAUCCGCACACCGUUUAACCUGAGGCGUGAUGCGUAGCCCAAAUGUGGGUGAAGUUGGUGAUCUAGUACUGUCGAGAAAAGCCUCUAGCGAUGUGGAUGUAUGGCCCGUACCCUAAACCGACACAGGUGGUCAGGUUGAAAAUACUAAGGCGUUCGGGUGAACUGUGGUUAAGGAACUCGGCAAAAUGCCCCCGUAACUUCGGGAGAAGGGGGACCACACGACUUCGGCAUUCUUUGCGUUUGCUUUGGGGUUGUGGGGUCGCAGAGAAUAGAGGGAAGCGACUGUUUAUCAAAAACACAGGUCCAUGCGAAGACGUUAAGUUGAUGUAUAUGGACUGACGCCUGCCCGGUGCUGGAAGGUUAAGAGGACCGGUUAGUAGUCUUUGACUGCGAAGCUGAGAAUUUAAGCCCCAGUAAACGGCGGUGGUAACUAUAACCAUCCUAAGGUAGCGAAAUUCCUUGUCGGGUAAGUUCCGACCUGCACGAAUGGCGUAACGAC